Molecule: non-coding RNA, 24 nt
Filed under: Arabidopsis thaliana (thale cress)
Lineage: Eukaryota; Viridiplantae; Streptophyta; Magnoliopsida; Brassicales; Brassicaceae
Source: RNAcentral
AUCACAGUCUUCGUUGUAAUUGCC